Non-coding RNA from Malus domestica (apple), 1096 nucleotides. Lineage: Eukaryota; Viridiplantae; Streptophyta; Magnoliopsida; Rosales; Rosaceae. The record is from RefSeq and is a predicted model, not a curated record.
AAAAGAUUGCAGGCGCCAAUAUACGCAACCAGUAUUUCAAAUGCUCCCAACCUUGAAAAACCUGGGUUUUAUAAAAAGGAUUUCAUACCAUUAAAUUGUAUGAUUUUUUUUUUUGAGUUCAAAAGUUGUGUAGCCACGAAAGAUUUCAAAUCCCCUAAAAUUCAAUAAGGGCGCGUUUGGUACGCGGGACGGGACGGAACAGGGUGGAACGAGGCGUUCCGUCCCGCGUUUGGUACGCCUAAAAUGAGUGGGACGAGGCGUUCCACGGGACAAGUUUUUGAUGAUUUUUGGUUCCACCUCCCCCCCUGGAACGGGUUGUUCCACGUCCGUGGGACAGAAAAUUUUAACAUUUUAGGACAAAAAUGCCCCUUGUAUUUUUCAAAAUUUACAGCAUCAAAAUCAUACAACAAACCCUAAAAACUAUUUCUCUUCUUCUCAGCCGCUGACCCUCCCCAUCUCUCCCCUUCGCAACCUUCCUCCUCAUCUUCUUCUCAGCCGCUGACUUUCUUGCACUGGGUUCCUCGUUGGCAGUCUCCGCUGAUGCGAUAAUCAAUGGAGAAACGUCUGCACCUUUGAAGAGAGAGAGAGAGAGAGAGAGAGCAAUUGAAGGCAAAUUCUUGUCAGAGAAAAACCCAUUUCUCUGCAGUCCACCAAAGCACUUCUCCGCUGAAGCUUCACCUUUCUGCUGAUUUUCAGCUUUCCGUUACUGUUUCUUCCGAGAUUUAUGAACAAGGAUUUCUCUCUGGUGAUUCUGUGGGUGAAGUCGGUUUCCUUUCUCUAGUUUUUACUGAUUUAUCAUCUAUGCCAUAUAAUUGUUUGGGAGUUUAUUGGAAUGUAAUUCAAUUCCUCUGUGUUUCAUUUUUCUUUGGCACACUACCCACUUACGAUUGAAAUCAAAUUCGUAUGGUCAGAUUUUUCGGGGAUAACCUUUUCUCUUCGUCCCCUGCUCUAUAUUUUCAUGUUUUUAUUGUCUCCUUUCUUUCUUUCUUUUUUUUUAUGUUUCAGAUAGUGACUAUGGGUCCUCUAUACAGAAAGAAAGUUAUCCAGAUAAACAUAGAGAAGGGAAGUGACUACUUGAUUUCCAUGGCAACUGGAA